GUAGUCAAUCUACCCUAUGGACGGGAAUAACCUCGGGAAACUGAGAAUAAUGCCCGAUAGAACAUUAUGCCUGGAAUGGUUUAUGUUUCAAAUGAUUUAUCGCCAUAGGAUGGGACUGCGGCCUAUCAGUUUGUUGGUGAGGUAAUGGCCCACCAAGACUAUUACAGGUACGGGCUCUGAGAGGAGUAGCCCGGAGAUGGGUACUGAGACACGGACCCAGGCCCUAUGGGGCGCAGCAGGCGAGAAAACUUUGCAAUGUGCGAAAGCACGACAAGGUUAAUCCGAGUGGUUUCUGCUAAAGAAACCUUUUGUCAGUCCUAGAAACACUAACGAAUAAGGGGUGGGCAAGUUCUGGUGUCAGCCGCCGCGGUAAAACCAGCACCUCAAGUGGUCAGGAUGAUUAUUGGGCCUAAAGCAUCCGUAGCCCGUUUUGUAGUUUUCGGUUAAAUCCAUGCGCUUAACGUAUGGGCUGCCGGGAAUACUGCAUAACUAGGAAGUGGGAGAGGUAGACGGUACUCGGUAGGAAGGGGUAAAAUCCUUUGAUCUAUUGAUGACCACCUGUGGCGAAGGCGGCCUACCAGAACACGUUCGACGGUGAGGGAUGAAAGCUGGGGGAGCAAACCGGAUUAGAUACCCGGGUAGUCCCAGCUGUAAACUAUGCAAACUCAGUGAUGCAUUGGCUUAUGGCCAAUGCAGUGCUGCAGGGAAGCCGUUAAGUUUGCCGCCUGGGAAGUACGUACGCAAGUAUGAAACUUA
RNAcentral lists this ribosomal RNA (756 nucleotides) under uncultured crenarchaeote. RNAcentral describes it as "bacterial SSU rRNA". It matches the Rfam family "Archaeal small subunit ribosomal RNA", at positions 100 to 858 of the family's 1478-position model. The record is from RNAcentral. Lineage: Archaea; Thermoproteati; Thermoproteota.